RNAcentral lists this ribosomal RNA (274 nucleotides) under uncultured bacterium. RNAcentral's name for it is "partial 16S ribosomal RNA". It matches the Rfam family "Bacterial small subunit ribosomal RNA", at positions 67 to 339 of the family's 1533-position model. The record is from RNAcentral.
AUCGAAAGCUUGCUUUUGAUGGGCGUCGACCGGCGCACGGGUGAGUAACGCGUAUCCAACCUGCCCACCACUUGGGGAGUAACCUUGCGAAAGUAAGACUAAUACUCAAUGAUAUCUCUAGAAGACAUCUGAAAGAGAUUAAAGAUUUAUCGGUGAUGGAUGGGGAUGCGUCUGAUUAGCUUGUUGGCGGGGUAACGGCCCACCAAGGCAACGAUCAGUAGGGGUUCUGAGAGGGUGAACGGCCACAUUGGGACUGAGACACGGCCCAAACUCC